CCUACGGGUGGCAGCAGUGAGGAAUAUUGGUCACUGGGCGCGAGCCUGAACCAGCCAAGUAGCGUGAAGGAUGACUGCCCUACGGGUUGUAAACUUCUUUUAUAAAGGCAUAAAGUGAGGCACGUGUGCCGUUUUGUAUGUCCUUUAUGAAUAAGGAUCUGCUAACUCCGUGCCAGCAGCCUCGGUAAUCCGGAGGAUCCGAGCGUUAUCCGGAUUUAUUGGGUUUAAAGGGAGCGUAGAUGGGUUGUUAAGUCAGUUGUGAAAGUUUGCGGCUCCACCGUAAAAUUGCAAUUGAUAAUGGCAGCCUUGAGUACAGUUGAGGUAGGCGGAAUGCGUGGUGUAGCGGUGAAAUGCUGAGAUAUCACGAAGAACUCCGAUUGCGAAGGCAGCUUACUAAACUGCCACUGACAUUGAUGCUCGAAAGUGUGGGUAUCAAACAGGAUUAGAUACCCUUGUAGUC
RNAcentral lists this ribosomal RNA (460 nucleotides) under uncultured bacterium. RNAcentral describes it as "partial 16S ribosomal RNA". It matches the Rfam family "Bacterial small subunit ribosomal RNA", at positions 338 to 795 of the family's 1533-position model. The record is from RNAcentral.